GACCGACAGAUGAACGGAUGACCUGCUUGCUGGGCUUCCCAUUACUAAUUCUUGAGACAUGAGGACCACUGACUGAUAAGGGAAUUGUCUUACUGAGAUGGAUGAGCCUGCUCCAAGCUACCAUAAGAUGGGAGGACCGACGGUUGACUGACUCUGCCUGCUUGGUUGGCCAUUACCGAUUCUUGAGAAGAUGAUGACCGCCAAGCUUGGAUGAGACUGGAAAAUUACGAAGCUGCUCUAUCUGGACAAGGAUGCCCUCAUCAGACACUUUCCAAUUUGCGGAAUAUUGGAUCAAAAAUUUGCAAUAUUAUAAAACAUAAAAACGACGAAAAUACGAAUUCUGACGCUAAAUAAUUGGAAGAAAUAAUAGCUUAAAUCACUGUUACUUGUUAACUUUACUGAGAUACCUAUACCUAAAAUAUUUGACAACGAAUAUGACGAAAAUUGAAGAAAAAAAUUGUCAAAUGUCUGUAAAAUACAUUGCAGUGAAAAUCAAAUCAUGAGCGGAUUUUUUUCUCACAGAAAUGCUUCUCCGCUUCCAACAAGUGGCUGAGAAAAUGAUGAAAUUUACGCCGAAAAUAACUGAAAUCAGUGUUGUUUUUACCUUUACUGCGAUACCUACCCGAAAUAUUUGACUAAACGCGUGUGACGCAACGUGGAAACAAAAAUCAAAUCGGUGCAAAUUAAAUAACAACGAAAAUCACACAGUACGUGGAGUUUCUUCUCGCAGCACGGCACUCUGUUUCUACAGGUAGCUACAGGAAAAUGACACCGAAAAUGAAAGCGGCAUAUAAGUGAAGUGACGAAACAUAGUUUACACGGCUAAAAAAUCACAGCGUUAGUGAGAGAAAUAAAACUUGAUAUCAGUGUUAUUUUUCUUACCUACAAAGUAAAACAAUUCGAUUGCGGAAGAACGAAAUUAAAGAGACGAAAAUUACGGUAAAAAGAUUAACAGCGGCAGCCAAAGACUGAAAUAAAUAUUUGAAAAUCGGUAAUUUUCUAAACUUCUAGGCCCUAGGAAAAAUGACCGAAAUAAUGUCAACAAAAACAAUUUCAAAUUAUAAUCGGCAGCCACUUCCGGUACGGUACUACACUGCUUUAAGAAGUCGGAAAGCGAAUUUUGGUAAACGGUGGGGAAAAUGACGGCAGAAAAAAGGUUAAAAAAAGACGGAAAUUAAGGAAAAACUUCAUUAUAUCGAUGUAAAGAAAAUGACUGAAUUUCAAUUAAAGCAGCAUGUUAAAGGCAUUCCCCCCAAGUUCUAGGCCUACACCACAUCUUUCAAGUAUUAUUCGUCA
Patiria miniata (bat star) is the source of this 1296-nucleotide long non-coding RNA. RefSeq lists it as uncharacterized. NCBI's taxonomy places the organism in Eukaryota, Metazoa, Echinodermata, Asteroidea, Valvatida, Asterinidae. The transcript has 3 exons. The record is from RefSeq and is a predicted model, not a curated record.